Molecule: transfer RNA, 74 nt
Filed under: Rasbora ennealepis
Lineage: Eukaryota; Metazoa; Chordata; Actinopteri; Cypriniformes; Danionidae
Description: tRNA-Leu
Rfam family: tRNA
About the family: Transfer RNA (tRNA) molecules are approximately 80 nucleotides in length. Their secondary structure includes four short double-helical elements and three loops (D, anti-codon, and T loops).
Source: RNAcentral
GUUGGGGUGGCAGAGUCCGGUAAUUGCGAAAGGCCUAAGCCCUUUAAUCAGGGGUUCAAAUCCUCUCCCUAACU